GCAGAGGGUGGGGCUCACACACAGGAAGUGCAGCAGCUAAAUAAAGCAAGUGGGGAUGAAGAGGGUGAAAGGACAGAGGUGCUGAGCACAGACGAGCACACUGACAUGGGGACAGAGGGACUGAGGACGAGUAGAGAUCAUCACAUCAAGAUGAAACUCUAGUGAUUGUAGGUGCUGAUGGAGGAUUGUUCCGGAUGUUUGCUCGAUGCGUCUCACUUCUCUCGUCUCUCAGUACUUUCUCACGAUGCCGUCCAUCAGCGCUUUUCCUCCCGUGUCUCUCCUCUCGUCUCCUCGUCCUCUCCCAAUCCUUGUACCAGUGUCCGGUCUGGUUGUGACGCUGGACGGGGUUUGGGGGGGGAUGAGCGAGGACACGUGUACAUCAUGUACAGUGAUGGCCACAUUCAACAAUCAUCCUAGAAAAGACAGCUCUGUAACCUCCAGUGUGUGUAUGUGUGGAUGCUGUACUCUGUACUGUGUGAAUAAACUAUUCAACUCCUGUUGUUUAUAUAGA
Tachysurus fulvidraco (yellow catfish) is the source of this 511-nucleotide long non-coding RNA. RefSeq lists it as uncharacterized. The transcript has 3 exons. NCBI's taxonomy places the organism in Eukaryota, Metazoa, Chordata, Actinopteri, Siluriformes, Bagridae. The record is from RefSeq and is a predicted model, not a curated record.